GGGUUUGUUUUCCCUCCUUGGAACAAAGUCUGGAUUCCCAAGAGCUUAGUUGUGGGGUCUCUCAUCAACGUUAUGCUCACGCAGUAUGAACACGCUAUGGCAUGAUUUUAUACAUCUGGGGUUUCCAACGAAGAGAAUUUGUAAAAAUCUGAAUAUCUGAAUGGUUAAACGUUUUCCCAGCCAGCACACUGGAGGGUGUGUGGGAAACCUAGAACACAUGGAAUUCCUUCUAUUUCAUGGAAGAUAGAUUUAAAUUCCUAGACUCUUUUCUAUUAACUCAAUAAAAAAGUGAGGUGCUCUAACCGGCAGGAAGUUCCUGAUCUAAAUUCCAUUUCCUACUUUGAUCGCUAAGGACGUGUCUUUCUUUGCAAAGCUCCUGGAGUGCUGGGAGAACAGCAUGGACACAAGUUUCUCCCUAAAAGUGGCUAUCGGGCGCAGGAAGUCAGGGGAGCUGAGGGGAAGGCGAUUCUGUCACCUGCUCUGCUGGAGAAACUUGCUGGCCCCACACUGGCAGCACGUUCCUCCGUCGUCUGGCACAACCUGGCUUUGACCCCAGUUCCUUCCCCUUGGUACAAGCUGGAGUUCCGAACCGAGGUACUUCCUCUCACGUGCAAAACGAAAUGUCUCCGACGUGAUGAUAGGGAAAGCUGCCUUCUGUAUCGUGUAUGUCAUAAAAAUCGUUUUAUUUCUUUUAAAACAACCGGCCUAAGGCAUGUUGUGGAAGACAACCCCGCCAGCCCGCUUCGAAUGCAAGGAAGAAAGCCGCAGCCCAGCCCGGCGCAGGGAGGGCGCCCCCUGGUGGCCAGAUGGGCCGUCGGCGCAGCAACGCGGGCGUUCCCUGCAGGCUCAAUGGACUCGGGCGUCGCGCGAGCGGCUGUAGCCGAGAGGCCCAGCUGUCCCGCGCCCGCAGCCCCGGAGACACCGCGGAGCAGGCCGAAGUAGCUUCAUCCACCCUCAUCCGAGAGGGUGGGGGAACGUAGGCCAGUGCCCGGAAAUAACGCGUGCCACUUCCCUUGUCAUCUCUAGUUCCAAAACCCAGGCGAAGGAGAAGAGCCCUAGAGAAACAUGGAGAAGGCGGGGGGAGAGCGCAGCGAGGCAGGGAACGCGCCGGGGACAUUCUAGAGCCAGAACUCAGGAGAAGGCAGCCAGGGCCAGGGUAGCUGCGAGUGAAUUGGGCUCACGUUGGAGGAAUAACGCACCACGUUUUUCUAGCAUUGCUUCAAGAUCUCUUAAUCCGGCACGGGGCAAGAUCCGGAGUUUUGGCUCAACGAGCAGAGGGACAAUACAGCCCACCUUCAGGACGGACAAUGGGAUUUUGAGAAAUGUGCUAGGUUGGCAAGAAGAGUGGGAAAUAAAAGAUGACUCUUCUGGGUAAGCAAAGUAAGAAAUAUGCAGUGAAACUGUAACCCCCACCCCCCAUUUCGGAAGUCCGUGCCGUCGCCCUGAUUAUGUAUGUGUGUAUUACUGAAUUAAUUAAAAAAAAUACUUGGACUGUAGAAUUUCCUUCAGCUGCUGUGUCAAGCAAAAGAGUAAGGAAGAUCUUCAAAAACCCAUAUAUAAAGUCCCCUUAAAAAAUAAAAGGCUAAUAAGCCUAGAAACUACAAGUCGACACAAUCAAAAGCAAAUCCUAGCUAGAGCAGAAGGUACUUGAAACUCGAAUCUGCAUUCCGUUCCUCCCGUACAAGGCUCCGCGGUGGGGGAGGCGGUUUGUGCUGGUGCCGGGUGUAUAAUCGGGUUAAUCCAGUAGACAAAGAAUAAACCAAUAGCCCUCCCACCUCACUUCCCGCUCCCCUUCCCCUCCCCC
Molecule: long non-coding RNA, 1804 nt
Organism: Nycticebus coucang (slow loris)
Lineage: Eukaryota; Metazoa; Chordata; Mammalia; Primates; Lorisidae
Exons: 3
Source: RefSeq, a predicted model, not a curated record